RNAcentral lists this transfer RNA (73 nucleotides) under Nicotiana attenuata. It matches the Rfam family "tRNA". Rfam says of the family: Transfer RNA (tRNA) molecules are approximately 80 nucleotides in length. Lineage: Eukaryota; Viridiplantae; Streptophyta; Magnoliopsida; Solanales; Solanaceae. The record is from Rfam by way of RNAcentral.
GCUCUUGUAGCUGAGUUGGUUAGAGCACUAACCUCCUAAGUGAAGGUUUUAAGUUCGACUCUCAGUGAAAGCA